RNAcentral lists this ribosomal RNA (492 nucleotides) under uncultured bacterium. RNAcentral's name for it is "partial 16S ribosomal RNA". It matches the Rfam family "Bacterial small subunit ribosomal RNA", at positions 29 to 507 of the family's 1533-position model. The record is from RNAcentral.
AGUGAACGCUGGCGGUAGGCCUAACACAUGCAAGUCGAACGGCAGCACAGUAAGAGCUUGCUCUUACGGGUGGCGAGUGGCGGACGGGUGAGGAAUACAUCGGAAUCUACUUUUUCGUGGGGGAUAACGGAGGGAAACUUACGCUAAUACCGCAUACGACCUACGGGUGAAAGCAGGGGAUCUUCGGACCUUGCGCGAUUGAAUGAGCCGAUGUCGGAUUAGCUAGUUGGCGGGGGAAAGGCCCACCAAGGCGACGAUCCGUAGCUGGUCUGAGAGGAUGAUCAGCCACACUGGAACUGAGACACGGUCCAGACUCCUACGGGAGGCAGCAGUGGGGAAUAUUGGACAAUGGGCGCAAGCCUGAUCCAGCCAUACCGCGUGGGUGAAGAAGGCCUUCGGGUUGUAAAGACCUUUUGUUGGGAAAGAAAAGCAGCAGGUUAAUACCCCGCUGUUCUGACGGUACCCAAAGAAUAAGCACCGGCUAACUUCGUG